RNA transcript from Silurus meridionalis, 6252 nucleotides. It is a transcript of the gene named dynamin 1a, with no coding region annotated. The record is from RefSeq and is a predicted model, not a curated record. The transcript has 25 exons. Lineage: Eukaryota; Metazoa; Chordata; Actinopteri; Siluriformes; Siluridae.
CAGGCAGUAAAGCGGAGAUCUCGUCGCCUGGCAGAUUGCGGAGGAAGGAGGAAGGCUGCUGAGGAUGAGACUGCAUCACAUCAUACAUAUCAAAAAUAACAUAAGAGGAACAUCACACCUGUAGACCUAGACACCGUGUUAGGAUUAAAAUUAGAGUUACAGUUACAGUUUCCUUUUUCUUUCUGCAUCCAUUUUUAUUUCUAAGGAGUUAUUUAUAGGCAUAAGGAGUGAUCCUCAGUCCCACCAAGCAGCCAGGAUGGGGAACCGGGGAAUGGAAGAUCUCAUCCCGCUGGUGAACCGGAUGCAGGACGCGUUCGCCUCCAUCGGACAGAAUGCGAACUUGGACCUGCCUCAGAUCGCAGUGGUUGGCGGCCAGAGCGCGGGGAAGAGCUCCGUCCUGGAGAACUUUGUCGGAAAGGACUUCCUUCCCCGCGGUUCAGGCAUCGUCACACGCCGCCCUCUGGUCCUGCAACUCAUCAACUCCCCCACAGAGUUUGCAGAGUUUUUGCACUGUAAGGGGAAGAAGUUUACAGAUUUUGAUGAAGUGCGUCAAGAGAUCGAAGCAGAGACGGAUCGUGCCACUGGGCAGAAUAAAGGCAUCUCUCCGGUCCCUAUUAACCUCCGUGUCUAUUCCCCUAAUGUACUGAACCUGACUCUGGUGGAUUUGCCGGGAAUGACCAAAGUGCCGGUCGGCGACCAGCCGGCAGACAUCGAGCACCAAAUCAAGGAAAUGCUUAUGCAGUUUGUGACGAAGGAUAACUGCCUGCUGCUGGCUGUAUCCCCUGCUAACUCCGACCUCGCCAACUCUGAUGCCCUAAAAAUCGCCAAAGAAGUGGAUCCUCAAGGUUUGCGCACCAUCGGCGUGAUCACCAAACUGGAUCUGAUGGACGAAGGAACGGAUGCUCGAGAUAUUCUAGAGAACAAGCUGUUACCGCUGCGCCGAGGCUACAUCGGCGUGGUGAACCGCAGUCAGAAAGACAUCGAUGGGAGGAAGGACAUCACUGCGGCUAUGGCUGCUGAGAGGAAGUUCUUCCUGUCACAUCCUGCAUACAGACACCUGGCAGACCGUAUGGGGACAGCUUACCUACAAAAAGCGCUCAACCAGCAACUAACCAAUCAUAUCCGAGACACACUGCCCGGACUGCGCAGUAAACUCCAGAGCCAGCUGCUAUCCAUCGAGAAAGAGGUGGAGGAGUAUAAGAACUUCCGCCCAGACGACCCGUCUCGAAAGACCAAGGCCUUGUUGCAGAUGGUGCAGCAAUUCUCUGUGGAUUUUGAAAAGCGUAUCGAAGGCUCAGGUGAUCAGAUCGAGACUUAUGAGCUUUCAGGUGGAGCGAGGAUCAACCGUAUCUUCCACGAACGCUUUCCUUUCGAACUGGUCAAGAUGGAGUUUGAUGAAAAAGAACUGCGCAAGGAGAUCAGCUACGCCAUCAAGAACAUUCAUGGCAUCAGAACUGGGCUCUUCACCCCGGACAUGGCCUUUGAGACCAUUGUGAAAAGGCAGAUUGCGAAGAUUAAAGCGCCCUGCCAGAAAUGCGUGGACAUGGUCAUUUCUGAGCUAGUCAAUACCGUUAGGCAGUGUACCAAGAAGCUUGCCCAGUACCCCAUGCUGCGAGAGGAAAUGGAAAGAAUCGUCACUCAGCACAUCCGCGAUCGUGAGGGUCGCACCAAGGAACAGGUGAUGCUGCUGAUUGACAUUGAGCUGGCUUACAUGAACACCAACCAUGAAGAUUUCAUCGGGUUUGCCAAUGCGCAGCAGAGAAGCAGCCAAAUGAGCAAGAAGAAAGCAGCUGGCAACCAGGGGCAGGAUGAGAUCAUGGUCAUCAGGAAGGGCUGGCUGACGAUCAACAACAUCAGUAUCAUGAAAGGUGGCGCUAAGGAGUACUGGUUUGUGUUAACAGCGGAAUCGCUCUCCUGGUACAAGGAUGACGAGGAGAAAGAGAAGAAGUACAUGCUGCAGGUGGACAACCUGAAGUUUAGAGAUGUUGAGAAGAGUUUUAUGUCCAGCAAGCACAUCUUUGCACUGUUUAACACUGAACAGAGGAACGUGUAUAAAGACUAUCGUCAGCUGGAGUUGGCCUGUGAGAGUCAGGAGGAAGUGGAUGGCUGGAAGGCCUCAUUCCUCAGAGCUGGUGUUUAUCCAGAGCGUGUGGUGGAAAAGGACAAGAGCGAUGCGAGCGAAGAGAACGGCUCAGACGGCUUCAUGCACUCCAUAGACCCCCAGCUGGAGAGGCAGGUGGAGACCAUUCGCAACCUGGUGGACUCCUACAUGGGCAUCGUCAACAAAACCAUCCGUGAUCUCAUGCCCAAGACCAUCAUGCACCUCAUGAUCAUCAACACGAAGGAGUUCAUUAAUGCGGAGUUGCUUGCUCAGCUUUAUUCCUGCGGUGAUCAAAACACUUUGAUGGAGGAGUCGCCCGAGCAGGCUCAGCACCGGGACGAGAUGCUGCGCAUGUACCAUGCACUCAAAGAGGCCCUCUGCAUAAUCGGAGACAUCAGCACCAGCACGGUGUCUACAGCUCUGCCUCCACCUGUUGACGACUCGUGGCUGCAGGUGCAGCGCAUUGGUUCUGGGGGAAGGUCUCCAGCUACCAGUCCCACCCCUCAGAGACGAGCUCCUCCAGGACCACCAGGACGCCCUGUUUCUCGUGGCUCUGCACCAGGACUGCCUGCUGCCGGUGGGCCUCCUUUGCCAUCUCGCCCCGGGGCGUCUCCGGACCCGUUUGGAGGCCCACCCCCUCAGGUGCCAUCUCGGCCUAACCGGGCCCCGCCCAGUGUGCCCAGCCGAGGAGUGUGAGACACCUCAGAGCGAAGCGGUGUGGAAUUACAAUCAGUGACCAGUGAGGACCAGCGUGUCUGCCGACGACCCCCGGCCUCACCCACUCGACCCAUGUGAUCCACAGACUCCUCCCUAUAGACUAUUAGCUCCUCCCAAAAGACCUUAAGGGACAGACAUCCAGGCCACCCAGAUCCCCUUCAUCUGCUUCUCCUCCAGAUUCAGUCCGGCAUGAACCCACACACAAACAUAUACACACACACACACACACACACACACACACACUACACUAUGCAGGAGUUUAUGUUGUUUCCUUUCUCCAUAUGAUUUUAUCUCUUUACGUUUCUUUCUGUUCCAUGCUUUUCUUGACGAUCCCUAACUUCUGUUAUAAUUUUUUUAUUUUGCUGAAUGAAAGUUCAUUUAUAAAUGAAGGUGAUGACUGGAGUGCUGAGUAUAACUGCAUCUAUUUGUGGCGUGCGCUUGUACACACCUUCAGUUUCAGUUACGUUAUUCGUCUUGGUUUGUUUUUUGUCCUUCUGUUUGUUUUUUUUAACAGUGCUCCUUGAAGUCACAGGCGGGAAGACGACACCCCACUAAUCUGAGGGUAAUAAACUUUAUCGUGGUUCUAAAUUGACGAUCAGGUUUUUAAUCACAUUUCAUUCAAAACAUUUCCCUUCGAUUGACAAUUUCAUUACAAUCCCAGGCGCUUGCCUUCCAGCCUUGCUGACUUUAGGGAUGCCAUUUUACUUCCGUCUGCUUCAACAAUUCUUUCAAUAUUCACUUUUCUUUCUCUCUCUUUUUUCCUCCUCGUGUUUCUCAGCCGGCCGAGCAGGGGCAGCCCUUCACGCCCUGAGAGCCCUCUUCCCUCAUCUGAUUCCUAACUACCCCAUCCUUUUUUUACUUUCACUUUUCUCUUUCUCCUUUCUGACCUCUUCCCCCCCCCCCCACUUCAUUUUCUCUUAUCUUGUAUCUUUUUCUCUCUGACACAUUUUUACUUUCUCCCACAUUCACUUUUCCUGUUUCUCUUUCUCAUUUUCUCUUCCUUUUUUCUUCCUGUUGCUUUUUAAAUUCAUUGCCUCUUCUUAUUUGUAUUUCACUGCCUUUUCCUUCCUGUUCGUUCUUUCCAUUGAUUAUUUAAUCCUUUCUUUUUAUUAUGUUCCUCUAUGACACUUUUCCUUCUACUCUUUUAAAUCCUUUCUUACGUUCCUUCCUUGUGUCUUUCACCUUCCUCUCUUUCCCUUUCCUUGUUCCUAUUUUUUUUUACUUUUUCUGUUUCAUCCCACCCUCUGUUUAAUUUCUACAUCAUUUGUUCUUCCUUCACUUUCAUUUUUAUUUCAGUUGUCAACCUUUUCCUUUUUUCUGUUUCAUAUUCUUUACUCUCGUCCUCAUCUUUCCUCUUCGACUUUGUCCUUCCUCUUCCUCUUCCUCUUAAACUCCCUCCUUGUCCACAAUAGAGCAAAUCUAAACCAAACCCCACCAGCACAGCUGAACACACACACACACACACACACACACACACACACACACACAACAACACAGUAAGCAGAGGAAGAAACAACGGAUGGAAAACCCCUUCAGAUGUAACUUCUCUUCCUCGUUCCACCUGCUCCGUUGUGGACAGACGCUUUUUCUUCUACGUUCCAUGUGAAGUAGAUGAGCAGCAACACCACCAUCGUGCUGUGAAAGUUGUGGUCAUCGCCCAUGUUCGCCUUUCCUGCUGGAUUUUCUUCAAAACCCACUGGACUAAUGUAAUAGCCAUGAAUAGUGUCUUGAUGUUUUAUCUCUAACACACAUAGCCAAGGUUCCCUGAUUUUUUUGUCACAAAUUGUUUGCACCCUGUCCGUGUUUACCCCUUGUGAUAUUUCGCAAAAUGUUCACUUUACAACGUAGUGAGUUCAGUAAAAGAGGCGGGAUCGAUAUAAAAAGUGCAAUAUAUGUCUACACGGUUACCAUUCACACCACGCGCUAGACCCGACAAUUAUCUACUCGAAAUACGCGAAGCUACUUAUUCUCUACGAGGGAGAAAAAGAGGAUUGUAUUAUUACUAGCAUCUUUACAGACGCUCGUUUAUGCAAACGUAUCAUUCUAACUGUGACGUUUUGUUUUUUAACCGUUCAGAAAUUCAGGUUUUAAAGGAAAUAUUCAAAGAAAAAUCAAAUGGACAAUGAAGCUCACAUUGGGGUUGAACCUUCGCCAUUGAAAAUGUUUAUUUAUUUAUUUUUUAUUUUUUUUGCUCAAAUCUACGCUAAUGUACACUUUCGAUAAAUGAAUAAAUAAAUAACUACACUAUAAAUGUAGAUAUUCUUGCAUUGGUUUUGUAAAUAUGCCAUGCAAAUAUCUGUUCUGGUGCAUUUCAUUAUAAACAUGUCUUAUAUGCUCUCGGUCUGUUAGAACGUCCUAAAAUAUGGAUUUGAACAGCAUCAGUACAACUGCAGCAUGCAAUGUGAAUAACUCUUAUGCUGUUUAGAUUACGGACUCACUGUAGAAUGUUGCAUGAAUGCCUUGUUUAGAUAGAAGUCGAAUUGGAAAUUGAGAAAAAAGCUACAUUGGCUACAUUAGAGGUCAACCGAUAGUGGAUUUUACAGAUAGCGAUGGCUAGGUCACCUUGGAUCAUAUUUGCUAAUAAACUAAUAAUCAACUAAUAAAUUUAUUUUAAUAAGUACUGGAUACAAAAAUAAUAAUCAUGUAAAAUAGGACUGAACUUUAAUACAAAGAUAAAAAAAACAGUACUGAAUCAUGAAACUGUGUGAAAUUAAAUCAAUAUGAAUAUAUUAAUUAUAUUAAUAAAUACAAGUAUAUAAUUAAUACAUUUAUAAUUAAUAAAUAGAAUACAGCGCUCUCCGUUCAGCAUACAGUCUCAUGUGUAUAAUCAUACAGCAUGUGAUGUCAUUGAUUUGCCUAUAGAGGGCGCUCUCAUAAUGACAGCGGUAUGUAUUUUUGCCGAUCGUUCCAGCAAUCAAUUGUGGAUAGUGUAAAAUGUUAUUUAUUUAAAAAAAACAAAAAAACAGGAUAGCUUCUGUUCUGAAAUCUGAUUCGCUGAGAUGCAUUCAAACUAAUUUCUGCAUUAAUGUACUUGAUUUAAACCAAUAAAACCAUCAUGGCUGCAUAUAUAAAGCCCUGAUCUUUGUAUGUUAUGGUGCAGCUAAAGGGGAACGAUUAACAAACUAUGGUAUGUCACGGAAAAUGUAGUUAUUUAUUAUUUAUUUAUCACAAAUUUUGUCCGCUUUAUUUAUUGAAUGCUUCGUUAUUUAUUUAUUUUUUGUUUAUAGCAUUUAUGAAAGCAAUUUUGUCACGCCUAAUAAUAUUAUCCCUCCUGAUAAAAGGGGGAAAUAAAAACAUGCACAUUGAGUUAUUCACUGGGUUUUGGGUUUGUCCUUAUGGAACCACUGAAGGUCAUUUGUAAAACCUAGAACAGAGCUUUUCGUUUCAUUGAGUUUUCACAGCUUCACGUAAAAAAAAUAAAAGUGUUCAUUUGA